CCAGAUGGCGACGAUGAUCGAUGGACCUCCGCCUGCCGCCGAAUACGUGGGAUCGCACAACGUGCUGUCCGUCGGAACGGCGCGAGAGUUGGAUGAGAGAAGGGCUGAACAAGACUCUAGCUAGUAGAAUCGUAGUAGUAAUAACUAACUCCAUCGUCUCUCCGCUGUUGGAAUGAAUUUUAAGUUUGUGUACGGGUUCACCUCCAAGGAUUACCCGCAACCGUCUAGAAUCAUGAGCAACACGUUCAGAAAGCUCUCCGUGGACACUAGGUUCAAAGAAGCCGGCCGCCGCGUUCUUCGAGAUGGACGCCGACAACUUCCAGGAUCUGGCGCAGAAAUACAAGCUGGACGUGUACCCUGCGUUCCUGGUGCUGGACCCCAAGGACACCGACAAGGAGGUGGGCGCCAGGGUCACCGGCGUGAAUUUUUUUAUUUUUAACCUAUUUUUCAAUUUUAUUUUAAAAAUAACCCACCCGGAUAUAUAUUUGCAAAUCUAACCCUUUUGAUCGCGCCGAUCUGCGUGGCGUGACAAAAACACGCUGUCGCGCCACAUGCAUUGGCGUGACAAGAUGUGCCACGUUGGCACACUUCGGAGCACUCGGAAGGGGUCUGUCAGCUCAUAUUCCACGUGCCAAC
Panicum virgatum (switchgrass) is the source of this 636-nucleotide long non-coding RNA. RefSeq lists it as uncharacterized. The record is from RefSeq and is a predicted model, not a curated record. Lineage: Eukaryota; Viridiplantae; Streptophyta; Magnoliopsida; Poales; Poaceae. The transcript is spliced from 4 exons.